RNAcentral lists this transfer RNA (69 nucleotides) under Rousettus aegyptiacus (Egyptian rousette). Its description in RNAcentral is "tRNA-Trp". Lineage: Eukaryota; Metazoa; Chordata; Mammalia; Chiroptera; Pteropodidae. The record is from RNAcentral.
AGAAACUUAGGUUAACAAAAGACCAAGAGCCUUCAAAGCUCUAAGUAAAUGGACUACAUUUAGUUUCUG